AGCUGUGGACAAACUUUAUAAAUGAAUGACACAGAAUAUAAAUGUUUCUCCCCCCUGGUUGUGAUGUUGACAUGUAGUUACUGUCAGACUGGUUUGUGCUCAAGUCCUCUUUUUUCUGUGCAGCUCCAUUUUUAAAAGUUAUUAGGGGGUUCAUGUUUGCUAAGAUUGACACCUGAUACAGCCUAUGGGAGGACAGAGAUUGAGUAGAUCACCUGGAGGAUACGCUGUUUGAGCCGAGCGUCAUCACAGCGACUCUCAGCGACUCUCCCGCUGAAUGCGUACAACGCUACUGCGCAAUGCUGGUUUCAGGAAGUGGAGAAAAAACACAGAAAUACAGAGAACUUUUCGGCUUCAAAUCUGUAAACUGGAGGAAGGAGGAACAGAGGAGUCCAGAGUUGUCCGUGGGGACUGAUAUCUUUGGGCUUCAUCCUCAUAAACGAACAGACAGCUGUGAGUUUGAGUUUGACGCUGAUCUGAUGAUAAUAUGAGUGAGUUAGUGUUGAAGCGAACAAACUCUUCUUCUGUCCCUGUGAUUGAAUUUUUGUGUUUUUGUGAAUAAACUGGUUUGGUGUCAGAUUUAAAGUGACAGUUUCACAAAAAAACAAACCCACUAAUUCAGAGAUUUUAUUAGACCAACAGAAAAACCCUUUAAAUCACUCAGACCGGCUCGCUGACGAUGUCAACAUUAGAGUCACAGUGACGCCUGCUGGCCUCUUCAGGUCACUACACCCAGACCUCACUGAUGAUGAUAGGAGGUAAACUCAACUCCUUAUCACAGUUUUUCUCUAAACACAACGAUCACAGCAUCGGUCUUUUUACCGUUCACUCUUCAUGUCGUUUUCACACAAUAUCCAGUCAGCGAACACAUUUACACAAAGUUAACGUUUUCUUAACAGACGAGCGACACCUCCCAACAAAAUGAUUAUUUCUGUUUUAUUUACGAAUGUUAACACACAACAUCCCAUAAUAACAAAAAUAAUAUUCCAAACCUUCGAUAGAGAAUAAAAACCUCUGCUGCUGCAAUGACAUUCAGUUCAAAGUCAAUAAAUCUCAGCUGAUCAUAAACAGUUAAUAAUCGACACACAGAUGGUUUAUGUUCGGUUAUUGGGUCAAAGGUGGAUCCGACACACCAAGAGGUUGUAUCCCAGGUGGAUCACCGUGGAUAACAUCAGAUGUGAUGUUGAUAAAAACAUGUGGCCUAACCCUGAAGAUCGCAGAGGUUAGAUACAGUCAUUUUGUGCUUUUUUUAGGCCCCUCCCCCUUUUUUAUCCGGGCUUUUUGCUGUUAUUUUUUGUUUUUUGUUCAGAAUGCUUUUGUGUGUUUUAUGGAUAUUUUGUUCACUGUCAGCAAUACUGUCAAACUUUUUCUGUUCUAUUAUAUUGUAAACAGUAUUUCUGCUGUAGUUAGUUAGUUAGUUAGUUCGUUAAUUAGUUUGUUUGUUCGUUUAUUGUCCACAAGUGUAAAUUUGUCUUCAGUCUCAUCGUGUACAAAAACAGAUCAACAGCAGCAACAAACACAACACAAAUACACACAAAUACACACAAACCAACAAAAGAGGGAGGACAACAGCGGCGUGUACAGACAGAUCUAACGGGACAGAGGCCCACGAUCGUUCAGCCCUGAUGGCGUGAGGAACGAAUGAGUUGUUGAAGAGCUAAUGAUUUACCUUAAGUAGUUGAUAACGUCGGUCUGAACAAAGUCUAACGAACUCUCCGUACAGCAGGUGAGAAGGAUCGUUUACGAUCUUAACAGCUUCUUUCCUCAUCACUUCCUUGUAGAUUCAGCUGAAGUGUUUCUGCUUCACUCUGAUUUUAGAGGCUCGAUUCACUGUUUUCUACAGCUGACAUCUCUCUGUUUGUCUUUAAGUUACCAAACCACAUUAUUAAAGGUUCAGUUUCCCUCUGUGAGGUUCUCACAGACUGUCUCCAUGAGGUUCUUACUGACUCCAAAGGAGUUUACAGAUGGAGGCGUUGAUCACAGGAUUUAAAGAUGUGGUCAGUGUUGAGGCUGAAAUGAAGGUUGUUGUCAAUAAAGGGACCUAAAUAUUUAAAACUGUAAAUAUCUAAGAGCUGAGAUCAGACCAGUCAAGGAGAGAAGGUACACGCCCUCUGUACCUCCUGAAGUAAACAAUAAAGGAAAAAAACUGAUUUAUUUUUUACUGAAAUACUUUUAAAUGUGAACAUUUCAUGUGAACAAACAGUUCCUAACCAGGACAUUUGGUGUAAAAACGGUGAAUUUCAUGUUUUUCCUGUAAAACUGAAACAUUAAAGUCUCUCUAGUUUUUAUCAUGUCAGUAAUAAUCAGUAUUUUGAACCUGGUGAACUUUGAUUAACUGUAUUUACCUGAUGAAGUGAAAACAAGAGUUUUUCUCUGACAGGAUAAUUUCAUUUAGAGUCAGAUUUACAGAGUUUUGUAAAGUUAGUGUGAGCAGAGAAAGAUGUUUUAUUUUGAAAUAAGAGUUAGUGAAUAUUUAAGAAAAUGUGUUUUUUAAAAGAAGAAAAUUCUGAGUCUGUUCAGAGUUUAGAAAAAGGAUCUGAAGUUUGGGUUUUUGUUUGUAAGGGACUAAAAAAAAACUCCAACUUAACCUGAAGGGAUGUGAUCGGAGGAAAAACAGAAAAUAAUUAAAUAAUGUGGAGAUGUUAUAACUUUGAAACACAACAGUCCCUCCUGUAAUGACAUGAUUACAGACAUAGAUUCAUGUUUUCUAUGAUUGGCACCUGAUACAGCCAAUGGGAGGACAGGGAUUG
This 2747-nucleotide long non-coding RNA is filed under the name Xyrichtys novacula (pearly razorfish). The record is from RNAcentral. Lineage: Eukaryota; Metazoa; Chordata; Actinopteri; Labriformes; Labridae.